This 253-nucleotide ribosomal RNA is filed under the name uncultured bacterium. Its description in RNAcentral is "partial 16S ribosomal RNA". It matches the Rfam family "Bacterial small subunit ribosomal RNA", at positions 524 to 776 of the family's 1533-position model. The record is from RNAcentral.
UACGUAGGCAGCAAGCGUUGUUCGGAGUUACUGGGCGUAAAGGGUGCGUAGGCGGUCCUAUAAGUAUGGUGUGAAAUCUCCCGGCUUAACUGGGAGGGUGCGCUAUAGACUGUGAGACUAGAGUGUGGGAGAGGAAAGUGGAAUUCCUGGUGUAGCGGUGAAAUGCGUAGAUAUCAGGAGGAACACCGGUGGUGUAAACGGCUUUCUGGACCAUAACUGACGCUGAGGCACGAAAGCGUGGGUAGCAAACAGG